CCCUUAGAUGUUCUGGGCUGCACGCGCGCUACACUGAUGCGCUCAACGAGUUUUAACCUUGCCUGGAAAGGUUGGGUAAUCUUUUUAAAACGCAUCGUGAUGGGGAUAGAUUAUUGCAAUUAUUAAUCUUCAACGAGGAAUUCCUAGUAAGCGCGGGUCAUCAUCCCGCGCUGAAUACGUCCCUGCCCUUUGUACACACCGCCCGUCGCUCCUACCGAUUGAGUGGUCCGGUGAGGCUUUGGGAUCUGAGCGGAAAGAGCGUUUCGCUGUUUCUGCUCGGAAAACUCAGUCGAACCUUAUCAUUUAGAGGAAGGAGAAGUCGUAACA
RNAcentral lists this ribosomal RNA (327 nucleotides) under uncultured eukaryote. RNAcentral describes it as "partial 18S ribosomal RNA". It matches the Rfam family "Eukaryotic small subunit ribosomal RNA", at positions 1470 to 1796 of the family's 1831-position model. The record is from RNAcentral.